Molecule: ribosomal RNA, 617 nt
Filed under: Pachygrapsus socius
Lineage: Eukaryota; Metazoa; Arthropoda; Malacostraca; Decapoda; Grapsidae
Description: partial 16S ribosomal RNA
Rfam family: Bacterial large subunit ribosomal RNA
Source: RNAcentral
AAAACAUGUCUGUUUGGAGAUAUAAACAGUCUAGCCUGCCCACUGAUAAGCAUUAAAGGGCCGCGGUAUUCUGACCGUGCAAAGGUAGCAUAAUCGUUAGUUUCUUAAUUGGGAUCUUGUAUGAAUGGUUGGACAAAAGAAAAUCUGUCUUUAUAGUUGUUAUUGAAUUUAACUUUUGAGUGAAAAGGCUUAAAUAAAUUAAAGGGACGAUAAGACCCUAUAAAGCUUGAUAUUAGGAAACACUAACCUUAAUUUUGAGAUUAUAAAGGUUUAGUGUGGAGCUUUUAUUAUAUUGGGGCGAUAGAAGUAAAAUGGUUAGUAACUGCUUCUUUUUUAGACAAAAAUAAGUGAGUGAGAAAGUAAAGGAUCCUUUGUGAAGAUUUAAAGAAUAAGUUACUUUAGGGAUAACAGCGUUAUUUUUUUUGAGAGUUCUUAUCGAAAAAAAAGUUUGCGACCUCGAUGUUGAAUUAAAAAUUCUUUACAAUUGCAGCAGUUGUAAGAGAAGGUCUGUUCGACCUUUAAAAUUUUACAUGAUUUGAGUUCAGACCGGCGUGAGCCAGGUCGGUUUCUAUCUUUUAAAUGGAAGGAGGCUAUUUUAGUACGAAAGGAUUAAAUAG